RNAcentral lists this unclassified non-coding RNA (400 nucleotides) under soil metagenome. Its description in RNAcentral is "partial contains 5.8S ribosomal RNA, internal transcribed spacer 2, and large subunit ribosomal RNA". The stretch from base 1 to 122 matches the Rfam family "5.8S ribosomal RNA", at positions 35 to 154 of the family's 154-position model. The record is from RNAcentral.
GAUGAAGAACGCAGCGAAAUGCGAUACUUGGUGUGAAUUGCAGAAUCCCAUGAACCAUCGAGUCUUUGAACGCAAGUUGCGCCUCAAGCCAUUAGGUUGAGGGCACGUCUGCCUGGGCGUCACAUAUCGUUGCCUGAUGCCAGUUUCCUCGUGAUGGGUGACUGUGCAGGGCGAAUGAUGGCUUCCCGUGAGCAUUGUUGCCUCAUGGUUGGUUGAAAAUUGAGUCCUUGGUAGGGAGCGCCGUGAUAGAUGGUGGUUGAGUGACGAACGAGACCCAAUCAUGUGAGACCCCUACCGAAUUUGGCCUUCAUGACCCACAUGCGUCUUUGGAACGCUCAUGACGAGACCUCAGGUCAGGCGGGGCUACCCGCUGAGUUUAAGCAUAUCAAUAAGCGGAGGA